Molecule: long non-coding RNA, 415 nt
Organism: Cyprinus carpio (common carp)
Lineage: Eukaryota; Metazoa; Chordata; Actinopteri; Cypriniformes; Cyprinidae
Source: Ensembl
UUUACGCGUUAGACGCGCACCGUUACAGCGCGCAGGAGGAAUGCAUAACAGUACUGCGAGGAUGAAGAAGACGUGCCUUUAAUCGAUUUAUAGCUAUAGGAGAGUUCAUGUUUGGUGGAGAGAUAUGGGAUGCUUUACAGAAGGACGAUUUAUGGACUAUCAUUGGACUUUAAAUGAGACUGGAGAAUGGAGAACAUCGCUGCUCUGCCAAGAUGCAUCAACCACCCAAAUCCGAUGGGAAACCACGGCAUGCUGUCAUCUGUUCAGACGGAGUGACAUUUGUCUGCAUGGUUUCUGCCAGGAAUCUGCACAAGCCAGUUCUCACCCUCGGACGGGACGCCCACGGACCCUUCGCAGACUUUCUGAUGAUUACUACAAGUCAAACAUUUUCAAAAUCGCAAAACACUUAGCCUGA